Molecule: ribosomal RNA, 1558 nt
Filed under: Rhizophagus sp. (in: glomeromycetes)
Lineage: Eukaryota; Fungi; Glomeromycota; Glomeromycetes; Glomerales; Glomeraceae
Description: Rhizophagus sp. (in: Fungi) small subunit ribosomal RNA
Rfam family: Bacterial small subunit ribosomal RNA
Source: RNAcentral
UUAUUGUAAGAGCUUAGACGUGGCUCAGGAGUACGCUAUCUAGUGGGUUACACAUGCAAGUCAUAUGAAAAUUGUUUCAUGGCGACCGGGUGAGUAAUAAAUAGGAAUCUACCUUUAGGAACCCCUGGGGCGGCAUAGGUACGCCUUCCAGGGGGAAGGGUUAAAUGCCCAUAAUUUUAAAGAAAGGAAAUUUUCCGCCUGAAGAUGAGCCUAUUUUGUAAUAGAUAGUUGGUAGUGGUAAUGGCCUACCAAGUCUAUGAUGCUUAGUUGGUUUGAGAGAACGACCAAUCACAGUGGCACUGAAAUAAGGGUCACCCGAGAAAUGCUCGGCAGCAGUGAGGAAUAUUGGACAAUGAGGGAAACCUUGAUCCAGCCAACUAUGAAGGGUCUAAACUAAUUCUGUAAAAACCCUAUCGGAGAAGAGCAUAAUGAGUUAAUUCUCCUACCAGUCCCGACAAACCUCGUGCCAGCAGUCGCGGUAAUACGAGGGGGGCUAGCGUUAUCCAUCUUUAAUGGGCCUAGAGUGUCUGUAGGCUGUCUACUAAGGUAAAUCUCAACUUGUUUUCGUAGAUAAGGUUACCUACUUUAACAAGAAAACUUCUUAUUAAUUUAAAUUAAACUAAAUAAUUCCUUAAUAAGUUUUACAACUAGUAAACUAGAGUGGAAUUGGGGAAUCAGGGAACUCCAGGAGUAGGGAUAGAAUCCAUUGAUCCCUGGAAGACCGCUAAGGCGAAGGCCCUAUUCUAAGUAACCACUGACGCUGAGAGACUAAAGUGUGGGGAGCGAAAAGGAUUAGAUACCCUUGUAGUCCACACCUUAAACGAUGGAGGCUAUAGAUUAGAAUCCUUUUUUCUACUAUUAAUAGAAUUCAAGAUUUUAUUCUAAAAGCGAAGGCAUUAAGCUUCCCGCCUGGGGAGUAUAAAGGCAACUUUGAAACCCAAACGUCUAGACGGCCUUAAAGACCAGCAGUGAAGCAUGUUGCUUUAAUUCGAUAAUCCGCGAAAAACCUUACCACUUCUUGUAUGUUACACAGGUGUUGCAUGGCUGUCCUGAGUUCGUGCCGUAAGGUGUCAGGUUAAUUCCGCUAACGAACGAAACCCCUCCUAUUAGUUAAUUUUUAUUAGUAGUAGAAAUUUAAUAGGGUAUGAUACUAAAAGUGUCAUUAAUUGGGGACGGCGACAAGCCCUCAUGGCCCUUAUGGAGUGGGCUAUAUAACGUGCCACAAAUUCUUUAACAAUGGGAGACAAUGAUGUAAAUUGGAGGUAAUCCCUAACGAAAGAAAAGGUUCGGAUUGUAGACUGAAACUCGUCUUCAUGAAGAAGGAAUUGCUAAGUAAUCUGCGCAUCAGCAUGGCGCGGUGAAAACUACUUUCAAGGCGCACUUAUUGUCCGUCAGGCGGAGAAAGUUGAAAUCUUCUGAAACUCUCUAAGCUUUUCAGCAGUUUAGGUAAUUGUCUUUGCUGUUGUUAAUAGCCUCUGGAGAGUCAAGAGGUUUUGGCAAUUUCUGUUAAGUCGUAGCAAAGUAGGGGUAGCGGAAGCUGCCCCUGAACGAAUAAAUC